GAGUCGAGUUGUUUGGGAAUGCAGCUCUAAAUGGGAGGUAAAUUUCUUCUAAAGCUAAAUACCGGCCAGAGACCGAUAGCGCACAAGUAGAGUGAUCGAAAGAUGAAAAGCACUUUGGAAAGAGAGUUAAAAAGUACGUGAAAUUGUUGAAAGGGAAGCGCUUGCAACCAGACCUGCCCGCGGUCGCUCAUCCAGGCUCCUGCCUGGUGCAUUCCUCCGCGGUCAGGCCAGCAUCGGUUCGGGCGGUCGGACAAAGGCGGCGGGAACGUGGCUCCCUCCGGGGAGUGUUAUAGCCCGCCGCGCAAUGCGGCCAGCCCGGAUCGAGGUCCGCGCUUCGGCCAGGAUGCUGGCGUAAUGGUUGCAAGCGGCCCGUCUUGAAACACGGACCAAGGAGUCUAACAUCUGUGCGAGUGUUUGGGUGUCAAGCCCGGACGCGUAAUGAAAGUGAACAGAGGCGGGAACCCUUGGGUGCACCGUCGACCGAUCCUGAUGUCUUCGGAUGGAUUUGAGUAAGAGCAUAGCUGUUGGGACCCGAAAGGUAAGCUAAUCUCCCAUCCUCCCCUCCGCAUCCGAUGCCAGUGCUAACUCUUGAUUCCAGAUGGUGAACUAUGCCUGAAUAGGGUGAAGCCAGAGGAAACUCUGGUGGAGGCUCGCAGCGGUUCUGACGUGCAAAUCGAUCGUCAAAUUUGGGCAUAGGGGCGAAAGUAAGUCGAACAU
Molecule: ribosomal RNA, 717 nt
Filed under: Hysterium sp. MFLUCC 13-0448
Lineage: Eukaryota; Fungi; Ascomycota; Dothideomycetes; Hysteriales; Hysteriaceae
Description: eukaryotic LSU rRNA
Rfam family: Eukaryotic large subunit ribosomal RNA
Source: RNAcentral